AUAUAACUAUGUACUUUUAACUUAUUCAAUAUGUUAGAAUAUAAAAAUACUAAUUAGAACAUAUGUUGCAUUCUGUUAGUAAAGGGUAAUUAUUUCCUCCCUGGUAUCUCUGAGAUAUUGUAGCUGAACAGUUUUUAGUGGAUUAUUUUAAACAUAUAAAAUAAUGUGCUAUUGAAGUACACAAAUUUUUGGAAACAGAUACUUUAAUUCAUUCAUUUGUUCAUUCAUCCAUUUGACAAAUAUAAAUUAAGAGUUUACUAUGACCAAGCAUUGCUUUAAGAGUUUGGGAUAAAUAUAGUGAACAAAACAGGAAAAAAUUUAAACUUAACAAAGCUUACAUUAUGUAGGGAGACAAUAAUAAUAACUGUGUUUAUGUAGUCUGUAGUAUGUGCUAAUACUGUUGUAAAUAUGAAUUUGGUCAAUAUGUAUCAAUUUCUGAUAAAUAGAAAAUCACAGAAAUAAUACUUAAUACUAAUAUACCUACUGUAUGUGAUGCUGACCAUGGAUAUUUCACUUUUGUUAUUUAUUACCUUAUUUAUUAUUAUUAAGACCAGUCUUUGUCUUUUUUAAAUGUUGAGAUUUUAUUUUACUUAACACUGUAUACGUAUUUAGGGAAAUCCACAGCAAUUUCAAAGAUUGAUUUCAAAAAGAGAUUUCCUUUCCCUGUGCCCUUGUCUAACUUAACUCUGCAUUUGUUAUGAAAUAAUGUAAAUUUUGUAUUUUUCAAGCCUUAUCUGGAUCAAUAGAUGGUGGUUAGCUCUUGGAUCUUUCAGUUUAAGUGAAUUCUUUUUAUCUUAUGUUUUAUGUACUGUAACUUUCAGGUGAUGACUAAAUACUUAAUUCAAAAGUAAAUGAUUCCUGUGAAAAUAAUUUUAUUUUCUUAUUAUUUUACUUUUAGGUAAUUAUUACAACAUCAAAAAUCUCCUGAAUGAUGAAAGUAUUCUUCUUUUUACUCAAAUUAAGAGAUGAAGGAUGAAGCAAGUUUAAAUAUGUGUGGGUAUUUAUGUAUAUGUGUAUAAAAUAUACAUGUACACACAUGUAUAAAGCAGCUUGUAUAGUUGACAUUUAUUUUUGUAAUUACUUGUGUUAUUUUAAAAUAAAAAUUUUAUUCAGCUUUGUGUAAAUGUGUAUUAGAUAAACAUUUCAUACUCGGACGAGUAUCUUCGCAUUUUUUGUGAACACACAUCAUCUGUAGUGAUAUUAUUUUAACAACAUGAAAAGCAUACCAAAACCACUACUCCUUCAAUGAAUAUAGGACAUAUAUUUUUACCAGAAGAGAGCUGAUUAAUGUCAGUUGAUUUAAAAUUAGUUUUCCCAAAUUCUCAUUUUUAAUUAUUGAGCAUUAAAGAACUGUGGUAAAUGUUUGUUUCUAGGGCUUCUGUAACAAAUUAUUACAAACUGAGUGACUUAAACUAAUAGAAAUUUGUUAUCUUAGUUAUGGAGGCUUGAAGUCUGAAAUUAAGGUGUUGUGAGGGCCAUGAUGUCUCAGAAACCUGGAGAAAUAAUGAUUCCUUCCCUCUUUCUGAUUUCUCUUGAAAUGCUGGCAAUCUUUGGUAUUCCUUGGCUUGCACCUACUACUACUACAAUCCCUGCCUCCAUUGUCAAAUGAUAUUCUUGCUUGGCAUGCAAAUGUCCUCACAUGACAUUUGUUUAAUUAUAACAAUUCGAACUUUUCUUCCAUCUUGUUUCCGUUUGUAUUUUCUGCUGGAAGUGGUACCCUGCGCCAUUGCUUUCUGCAUGUGGCCUCCUUAGCUCCUUUUAAUAUUAAAAGGAAAUGCUUCAGGAAACAACUCUGCUAACAAAGUUGAAUUUUGAUUUUUUUUUUGGGGGGGCUAUAAAUAUAUAUUAUAAGAUUGUCAGUUCUAAAGAAGUUUAUUUCAUGUGAAUUAUUUUUAGGCUGACCCUCUUCAUGACUCUUUAAUAGUUAAAUAUACAUACACAUUGAAAACAGGUUUGGUAUCUGGGGUCUGAGAAAGAAUGAAGUUAUGAUAGGCUUUGUUAAACCACAUUUUUUGUGUGUGUUUUUUUUUUUUUUUUUUAAUUUCAUUAAAAAAAAAAAUAAGAGUUGGGUGCAAUGGUGUACACCUGAAACCCUAGAGGCUUGGGAAGCUAAGACAGGAUGAUCAUGAGUUCAAAACCAGCUUCAGCACAAGCGAGAUGCUCAGCAACUCAGUGAGACACCCUGUCUGUAAAUAGAAUACAAAAUAGGGCUGGGGAUGUGUCUCAGUGGUUGAGUACCCAAGUUCAAUCCCCACUACCCCCCCCCAAAAAAAAAAGGAAUUAUUCCUCUUUACAUGACAAAUAAUACCAUAGAGAUAAGUUGAUCUCACAAUACAUACUGGCUACAAAUUUAUUUGUGUUACAGUUGCCAAAUAUAAUGCUUCUCAAGGGGAUUGGGAAGUUAAAAAUUAUUUAGUGGGUAUCUGGCACAGAAAUAAUGACAGUUUAGACCUAAGGAGUUACAUCAUUUAAAUGGUUUUAAUCCUGGGAAUAUGUUAAAACAUUCAGUAUGAUAUGUUUUUGCUACUAAUUCUCUUUUGUGUUGUAAUAAUAGGUUGCCAUAUCUUCCAGCAAGGCAUCUGAGAACUUCAAAUACUAGCUCAUCACUUGUGUUUAAAAAAAAAAAAAGAAAAGAAAAAAAAACAAAGGGGGAGAUGUUGAGAAUGGUGAAUGAAUUAUGCUCUUUGAACUGCCAAGUGACAGGCAAUACCUCCCUUGGGAAUUUUUUAAUGCAUUUGAGAGCCAACCCUUGAAAAAUUGGCCUCAACAAAGAGUGUUAGAUAAAAUAAAACUGAUUAGGAAAAUACAUUAAUUUAGGCACAUAAAGCUCAAAUAUGAAUUUGCCAUGAAAUCAUGAGCUCAAAAAUAUAGGGUUUUUUAAAGAGCAAAACAAAAGCCAUAAUUAUUCUUGUAAAGAGACAUGUUGAACAACUUUAUGAGAUCAGUUCACUUUGAGUUCAGAUUAGAGUAAGUUCAGAUAUUUAAAAUAUAGAGUAAAAUCUUCAGAAAAGUUUUUUUAAAAAGGGAAAACAUAUAUUUAGAAUCUUUCCAUUGUUCCCUCUUGGUGCUCAAGCAUUCAGGGGAGGUUAUUAACAGUGUGGUAAAGAUACCAAGUUAAGGCAGAACAGAAGAGGCUCAGAUUUAAACAUGACAUCUUUUUCUCUUUAGGCCGUCAAGUCAGAAAUCACUUGAAUUUUUAAAAGGGCUACUUUUUUCCUGUGGUCUUAAAUCUUACAUGAUUCUCUGAAAAUGUGGUGCUAUAGUUUAUGUUUUUUCUGAAGACCCUAUCCCAAUGAGGUUUUAACUGAGGAGGCAAAAUUGUCUGUCUAUAUUUGUAAUUUACAUUCAUUACCCUAAUGUUUAUCACAAUGGCUGCAUGGGCAGAGGCCUGGUUUGUUUUUAUGACCAGAUAACUGCUGAUAGUCUCUGGCCAAGCGUCUAGGCUCACUUCCUUUUGGAAUUUUAAGUUUUUAAGUUUUCCAGGAAGGCUGAAAAACUCUUUAAUUUUUUUUAAUUGUUGAUGGACCUUUAUUUUUAAUUAUUUGUUUAUAUGAAAAAGAAGCCAGUGCCUCACACAUGCAAAGCAAGCACUCUACCACUGAGCCACAACUCCAGCCCUGCAAAACUUCUCUUAAAGCUGUGGCCAGAGUUUCAACUCCCACUCAUAUUUCAGGAAACAGCUUCUACUGAGCAGGGGAAGGGCUGUAGGAGAUGCUACAGGCUGAAGAGUGUUUAUUUUUUACAGCCUUUAACAGUGUUUCUAAAGCCAGAAAUCAGGUCAGAAGCCAAACAUUUCAUGUGAUUACAAGAUGGAUCAAGACAAUUUCAUAUCAAAGACCAUGGGGAUUUUGUCCAGUUCCUUGGUCACAUAGCUAGCAUGCAUGUUCACUGAGUUUCUCCCAUGACUUUACACCUACCGCUCCCUCCUCAAGUAACCAAGGAAAAGUUUUAAUAACAAAUUCUAAAAGCUGUGGCAACUGCCUUCUCUAUGGGGCUGUCCUGUAAUUUAAACAUAGUCUUCAACAUAGUAACAUAGGGAUCCCUUUCUUCUAAACUGUUCUGAAUUUUACAGCAAGCUAUGUAUAAAGACUCGCUUGUCUCCUUCCUACUUUAAUGGACAUGUAUCUUUUUUAGGAGCAUUCCACUCACCUUGAAAAGUGAAUUCCUUGUGUGUCUGUGUUGGUCCCUGUUCAGGUGCCAAAUGUCCAUCCUGUGUGAAAGUGUAUUCAGGGCAACACAAACUAGUCAGUAAGGGGAUUAUGAAAAGACACAUAAACUAGAGGAAAAGGCAGGGUGGUUUGGUUCAGCCUGCCUCUGGUGGAGGAAGACUGACCACAAGCAAGCUUGGCACAUUUAUUAUAUAGGUUUAAACAUCAGAAGGAUUUAUUGUCAGAAAGCCUCUUCAAGAUAAAACUGAAGCUGAGGGUAAAAGCAGCCCAUUAGGCUUAUCAGCUUUUGGCUAUAAUUCUCUACCUCUGGGCAGCAAGUAUUUGAACCCAAGGUUAUGAACUAAAACUUGGCUAGUAAGGAAUUUCCCUUUGAACAGGGUGUUACCAUACAAUUGGCUGGUUUUUUCUUUGCCUUUGCACUAAGACAUUCCCAAGGGAGUUGUCUCCUCUGUUUCUGGGAGGUUCAAAGACCCGUAUUUCAUUGCCUUUCCUGAGUUUCCACAUUUUUUGUUAAAUUGAUUGGUAGGCAUUGCAUGUUUCUUAAUGCUGUGGUAAAUUUUAUUUUUUCAUUUUCCAAGUGCUAAUUUCUAAUGUAUAGAAGUACAACUUAUUUUUGUAUAUACUUUUUGUUUAUAUUCUAUGACCACGUCAAAUUCAGAUCAUUAGUUUUUUGUUUUUAGGAUUCCAUAGGAUUUUCUAUGCAUAUAUUAUGUGUAUACUGUCAACAUCUGUGAAUAAAGACAUUUUGACUUCUUUUAGUCUUUGCAUUUUAUAUAUUUUCAUCUUGCUUUAUUCUAGGACUUUCAGUAUACUGUUGAGUGGAAGCAGUCUUCCUGCUUUGUGCUCAAGCAUUCAGUUUUUUAAUAUGAAGUAUAAUGUUGGCUGUAAACUUUUCACAUAUGUUUUAUCAUAUUAAGAAAGUUCUUCAUAUUUUUAUUUUGACGAGAUUUUUUAGAAAUUAAGAUUCUGUUUAUCUUUGUCUACUGAAACAGUCAUUUGAUUUUCUUGUUUCUUCUGUUGGUGAAAAAAAAAAUUUAAACUCUACUUGCAUUUCUGUAUUAAAAAACCCUUGGUUAUGCUAUGGUAUUUACAAAUCAUUGGAUUCAACUUGUUAAUAUUAUUAAAAUUUUAAAUUUUAUUAAAGAUUUUUUGUUUUGUCUAGAUCCAUGAAGGAAUUUUUCUGCUUAUUAUGACUUGGCCAGGUGUUAGUAUGAAGGUCAUUCAGAUCUUAUAAAGUGCAAUUCAUUUACAUCUCAAGUGUUAGAAAGAAUUAUAAGUACUGCCAUACAGACCUGGAAUUUUCUUUAUGGAAAGAUUUUUAAUUAUGGCGUUAGCUUCUUUUGUAAGUAUCAUUGUUGAUGAUUUCUAUUUCUUCAGUUUUAAUAAAUUUGGCUUAUAUCUAAA
RNAcentral lists this long non-coding RNA (5573 nucleotides) under Marmota monax (woodchuck). The record is from RNAcentral. Lineage: Eukaryota; Metazoa; Chordata; Mammalia; Rodentia; Sciuridae.